CACGCAGGGCGCAAGCGUUGUCCGGAAUUAUUGGGCGUAAAGAGCGUGUAGGCGGCCCGGUCAGUCGGUUGUGAAAGUCAGGGGCUCAACCCUUGAAUGCCGACCGAUACUGCCGGGCUAGAGUCCGGAAGAGGCGAGUGGAAUUCCUGGUGUAGCGGUGAAAUGCGCAAAUAUCAGGAGGAACACCAAUGGCGAAGGCAGCUCGCUGGGACGGUACUGACGCUGAGACGCGAAAGCGUGGGGAGCAAACAGG
RNAcentral lists this ribosomal RNA (253 nucleotides) under uncultured bacterium. RNAcentral's name for it is "partial 16S ribosomal RNA". It matches the Rfam family "Bacterial small subunit ribosomal RNA", at positions 524 to 776 of the family's 1533-position model. The record is from RNAcentral.